AAUCCUGUCGCAAUCGUACUGGUCACAUUGUUAGCAGUUGGGAUAAUACGUGGUGGUAUAUUCUGGGCAAUUAAAAUAAGAAAAUGUGGAGCCGGCAAGCAAAGAGAAGAAGACCAACAUUAUGCUGAAGUGAAAUUUCAUACAUUGGUUGGGUAUAUACUGGUAUCUGGCACCGGAGGAGUCUGUUCACCAGAAGAGUCUGUUUUAUACUCAGAUGUCAGAAUCUUACCUUCUGUUCAGACAGGACUAGAUUCAAUCACUCCUCUCUCAAAGCUGUGACCUUGGCGUGGUUAAGAGGCUUGUGUUUCUCAAUGACCCUGAGAG
This 324-nucleotide long non-coding RNA is filed under the name Salmo salar (Atlantic salmon). RNAcentral's name for it is "lncRNA (ENSSSAG00000118209.1)". Lineage: Eukaryota; Metazoa; Chordata; Actinopteri; Salmoniformes; Salmonidae. The record is from RNAcentral.